GGAUCAUUAAAAUAUCAGGUCCUCUCGAGGAUGUCUGAAACCCUUGAAUAUACAAACUUUGUUGCUUUGGCAGGUCGUCCUCGGGCGUUGGCCACGGCUGACAGUACCUGCCAGAGGACCACAAUUCUUUUGUUUAGUAAUGUCUGAGUACUAUAUAAUAGUUAAAACUUUCAACAACGGAUCUCUUGGUUCUGGCAUCGAUGAAGAACGCAGCGAAAUGCGAUAAGUAAUGUGAAUUGCAGAAUUCAGUGAAUCAUCGAAUCUUUGAACGCACAUUGCGCCCCUUGGUAUUCCGAGGGGCAUGCCUGUUCGAGCGUCAUUAUGACCAAUCCCGCAAGGGGUCUUGGGGCUCGCCAUCUCGGCGUCCCUUAAAAUCAGUGGCUGUGCCAUCGUGCUCUAAGCGUAGUAAUUCUUCUCGCUAUAGAGUCCCGGUGAUGCUUGCCAGCAACCUCUAUUUUUUAAGGUUGACCUC
RNAcentral lists this ribosomal RNA (472 nucleotides) under Helotiales sp. EXP0417F. RNAcentral describes it as "eukaryotic LSU rRNA". The stretch from base 166 to 319 matches the Rfam family "5.8S ribosomal RNA". The record is from RNAcentral. Lineage: Eukaryota; Fungi; Ascomycota; Leotiomycetes; Helotiales.